CCCAGUUCGGACUGCAGUCUGCAACCCGGCUGCACGAAGCCGGAAUCGCUAGUAAUCGCGGAUCAGAAUGCCGCGGUGAAUACGUUCCCGGGCCUUGUACACACCGCCCGUCACACCAUGGGAGUCGGUAACACCCGAAGUCGGUAGCCUAACCGUAAGGAGGGCGCCGCCGAAGGUGGGAUUGAUGACUGGGGUGAAGUCGUAACAAGGUACC
This 214-nucleotide ribosomal RNA is filed under the name uncultured bacterium. RNAcentral's name for it is "partial 16S ribosomal RNA". It matches the Rfam family "Bacterial small subunit ribosomal RNA", at positions 1287 to 1500 of the family's 1533-position model. The record is from RNAcentral.